RNAcentral lists this ribosomal RNA (480 nucleotides) under Candidatus Kaiserbacteria bacterium. Its description in RNAcentral is "partial 23S ribosomal RNA". It matches the Rfam family "Bacterial large subunit ribosomal RNA", at positions 1 to 497 of the family's 2925-position model. Lineage: Bacteria; Candidatus Kaiseribacteriota. The record is from RNAcentral.
AAUCAAGCGCGAAAAGGGCGUUUGGUGGAUGCCUUGGCAGUAAGAGGCGAUGAAAGACGUGGUACUCUGCGAUAAGCCAUGGGGAGCUGAGAACAAGCUUUGAUCCAUGGAUCUCUGAAUGGGGGAACCCACCUGACAUUCCGUUAUUAUCAGUCUUCGGAUUGUUGAUAAUGGAGUGAAACAGGUACUUAUAACCUGAAUAUAUAGGGUUUUAAGAGCAAACCCGGGGAACUGAAACAUCUAAGUACCCGGAGGAAAGGAAAUCAAUAGAUACUCCGCUAGUAGUGGCGAGCGAACGCGGACCAGCCGAGCCAUGAGAAUGACCAGAAUGAUCUGGAAAGAUCAGCCAUAGCGGGUGACAGCCCCGUAUGGGAAGUUCGAUUGGACGUAUUAAGUAGGGCGGGACACGUGAAAUCCUGUCUGAAGAUCGGGGGACCACCCCCGAAGGCUAAGUACUCCUUACUGACCGAUAGCGAACCA